RNAcentral lists this ribosomal RNA (495 nucleotides) under uncultured bacterium. RNAcentral describes it as "partial 16S ribosomal RNA". It matches the Rfam family "Bacterial small subunit ribosomal RNA", at positions 29 to 506 of the family's 1533-position model. The record is from RNAcentral.
AUGAACGCUGGCGGCGUGCCUAAUACAUGCAAGUCGAGCGAACAGACGAGGAGCUUGCUCCUCUGACGUUAGCGGCGGACGGGUGAGUAACACGUGGAUAACCUACCUAUAAGACUGGGAUAACUUCGGGAAACCGGAGCUAAUACCGGAUAAUAUAUUGAACCGCAUGGUUCAAUAGUGAAAGACGGUUUUGCUGUCACUUAUAGAUGGAUCCGCGCCGCAUUAGCAAGUUGGUAAGGUAACGGCUUACCAAGGCAACGAUGCGUAGCCGACCUGAGAGGGUGAUCGGCCACACUGGAACUGAGACACGGUCCAGACUCCUACGGGAGGCAGCAGUAGGGAAUCUUCCGCAAUGGGCGAAAGCCUGACGGAGCAACGCCGCGUGAGUGAUGAAGGUCUGCGGAUCGUAAAACUCUGUUAUUAGGGAAGAACAAAUGUGUAAGUAACUAUGCACGUCUUGACGGUACCUAAUCAGAAAGCCACGGCUAACUACGU